Molecule: long non-coding RNA, 2680 nt
Organism: Topomyia yanbarensis
Lineage: Eukaryota; Metazoa; Arthropoda; Insecta; Diptera; Culicidae
Exons: 7
Source: RefSeq, a predicted model, not a curated record
GGUACACUGUCAGAGUGACAGCAUACUUUGAUGAAAUUGUGCUAAAACUGGCUGCACUGAUAGAUUUGUUUUUGAUUGUUUGACACUUCUAAAUAUUUUAGUUUUCUGCAGAAAAAAUCUCAGAAAACUAACGACUGAUUUUUGUCGACGUCGGGCACCAGUUACAGUUACAGUUUGAAAUUAUAUCUCACCUCGGAUGAACGCGCCUGUUAUGUGUUACCCCGCAACAGCUGACUUAACUGAUUGUUCAAAUCCUCGAAUUUAUCCUACUCGCUGUCGUUCAUGUUUUUAUUACUUUCCCCUAGUUCUACACAAUCAUUAGCCAUUGGAUCGGUUCGUGAUUUUAGGGAAUAGUAAACGUUAUGAAAAAAUCCAUUGUAUAAUAUAAUUAUAGUGUAUAGUUCAUGAAUCCGAAGUGGUUCAAAAGGAUGUCGCUGUACAGAUUCAGAGCGGCCGCUUCCAGCUCAGCAAAAGUGAAAGCCACUUGACGGUUAAAUUCGUAGUGUGUCCGCUGAUAGCGCUCAGGGACAGAAAAAUCUCAUAGGUCAGAGUCGCUUCCGACUUCGUUACCGUCAACAUUAAACACAACAGCAAGAUACUUGGAAAGGACUUUCUCGUUCGAACAAACAUAAUGGAAGCGUAUUCUACACGCACAUAUUCACUCGGGCCAACCGUGUGACUCAUUUGGAAAAAGGACUCAUCGUCGGUUUCAUGGCAGCGAAGUGAGCAGACAAAAAAGGCAUCGUUUUUUUUCCACAUGAUCGUUCUGAGCAAAAUUCAGCGAUUUGCCAGGCAUAAACCACCGAUGAGACAGUACCCGUUCGGAUUCAGGACGUUUUCCCAUACAUUGCAACCGGUCGAAGCGAUGGCAAGCGAUGCAGAUAACUGGGUCAAAAAGGCGGAGGUUCUGGGAAUUUCUGCACUCGUUAGCGAUCUGAGUAUGACCAAGGACAAGGAAUCAGAACCGGCGACUGACAGUCCAGAGAAAGAGAAUGCGGAAAACCCUUCUAGUCCAUAGCUCCUGAAGAAAAACGAGCUGAAGCGAAUAUGGAGAAACAGCUUCCUCCACGGAAAAUGCAGAGGCAUGCAACGCGGCGGAUGCAAGUUUGCUAAUUGAAAUUAUUCGCAAAGAUCUAGUAGAAUUAUACUGGAGGUGCUGCGAAACGAUCCUUUUUCGACGCUAUACUCGGUUAAAACUAUCGACGCUUUGCAGCUGAUGCCGGAACUGCCCACCCCGAGAGCAGAUGAGCGCUGGGGAAUGUUUUCAGCCACCUGGAGGAGGAAGUUAAGCGCGGAAGAAAUGUUACCAGACUUUGCCGAUCUGGUAUCUGGACUUUUUUGAUGAUCUCAUAGAGAUUGGGUGUGCAGAUGGGCGUUUAAAGUUCUGGGAGGGAACGACUGGUAACUUUUAGGAUAUAUAUGAAGCUGAAAACAACCACAACAAUGGGGUAACUAACAAAAACCUCGCUGGUGACAAAGUGAUAGUCGCACGGUUGAGUGAACGAAUCGAUUUUCUGAGACUGGAAACGUACACGUAAGGUUUUCAGAUCGAUUGGGGAUUUACGUCUGCAUAUGGGCGAAGUAAGUUCUAUGUUUCAAGCAAUUUUUUAAGCUCACCUAGGGCGCAGACAGAUUUUACUUGUUCUUUUAAAAUACUGUAUAUUCUAAGUCAUUUAAUUUUCAGUCUGUAAUGAGUAUGUCAUCAAGUGCCUUAAUUCUUUUUCUUUUUAGCCCACGUACGCAGCGGUUCGGCAGGAAGCAUUAGUUUAUUUCAGCAACUCGCCGGCUCAAAUCCGUCCACAGCGUUGCCAGCUCAACAUCACGCAUCCGAGGAGGAGCUUCGAUGUAUCCUGGAGUUUCACCAGCAGGGUCACCGGUGACAUGUUUGGAAGUGGCGGGCGGUACAGUCAUUACUGGCAGCCAGGGCCACACUGUUAACGUGUUCCGGCUUGAUAGCCACCUAUUGCAGUUCACCCUAAACGGCCAUUGUAGGACCGCACACACAUGUGUUUUCAUAGACCAGUGGCAGGCCGAGAUGGGCGCAUCUGGUUGCCAGGAUGGUGUGCUAUGUGUGUGGGACUUGAUACGGGGUGCCUGUAUGUACAAAAUUGAAGCCCAUGACGACAUGACGUCGCACUUGCCUGUUCCCCGAGUUACGCAAUAUCGCUCGGACUGAACGAACGAAUACGGUUUUGGGAUAGAUUUCAGGGUCAGCCGCUCAACACCAUGACCGUCAGUCAUGCAUAUUCAUCGCUUGUGAUGCUGACGCUUCUGAACGAAGCCAUUGCUAGCACGAGUUUUUGAUUUGGAAGGAUAGUUGCUGAGGACCAUUCUCACAAUAAGUUUAUAAUAUCCAUUACAUGAUCAAAUGCGCUGAUGGGUUAGGCUUUGGAUUCGGCUAUAUUCCAUCGUCAUUGAAGCUAGAUCAUAGAAUCAUGUUAAUUUGACAGACUGCAAGUGUUACUAGUAGCACAAACAGCUAGCAGCCCAGCUAGUAUUGUUCUUUCUGCUUGCAACCAACCUGGUUAUAUUGAUGUUAAUGCUAAAUUCGCUGUUGCAGCUGUAUGGUCGCUAUACUGUUCCAUGUGUUAUGGGAUUCGCUAUUAACAUGGGACAGUGUUAUGCUUAGAGCACCAGAUUCUAAAAGCGACCAAUUUUGGCCAAUCACUGGAGACAAAAU